This 208-nucleotide ribosomal RNA is filed under the name uncultured bacterium. RNAcentral describes it as "partial 16S ribosomal RNA". It matches the Rfam family "Bacterial small subunit ribosomal RNA", at positions 568 to 774 of the family's 1533-position model. The record is from RNAcentral.
CGCGUAGGCGGUGUACACAGUCAGGCGUGAAACUUCCCGGGCUCAACCUGGGGGCUGCGCUUGAUACAUGUACGCUUGAGUUCGGAAGAGGGUCGUGGAAUUCCCAGUGUAGAGGUGAAAUUCGUAGAUAUUGGGAAGAACACCGGUGGCGAAGGCGGCGACCUGGUCCGAUACUGACGCUGAGGCGCGAAAGCGUGGGAAGCAAACA